UAAAAUACGAAACUGAUUUUAUCAAAUCGAUACUAAUCAUUUCUUCUUAUAGCUUGCAUUAUAUAUUAUUAUAUAUUUAAAUUCAUAUCGAGGUGUUGACCUCAAUGCGAUAAUAAUAAGUGGAUUAAGAAGUCAAUGAGCAAUAUACUUGCGCGUAAACUAUAAUCGUAUAAAUAAUAAUCGUGGAUAAGAAGUAAUACAAACAUUUGUUAAUUUUUUUCUAUCACAGAUGCAUUUUAUUUUUCACACUGGUUUAUUGUUAAAUUAUAAUAUAAUUGUGUUGAUAAAAUGCUCUCUAAAAUACAACAACCCAAAAUCGCGAUAUAUAAUUUCUACGAGAAAUUUUACAAUGUAAACAGCUACGCACCCGCUAUUUCCUAUCUUUUCUUGUUUUGUGAUCGAUGGAAACCUUAAUUCUACAUUUGUAUGUGUGUCCACGGGUGGGUCGGGGAUGCGAUUCAUGUCCAGUAUUUCAUUACACUGUAAUUUAUGUAUAUCACUUUUAUUGUUAAUAAAUAAUAUGCAGUUACAGAUUGUGUUUGUGCAAAGUACCGUUGUUUCCUCCAUUUUUUCUGUUUCCUGCGGAAUCGUAUCGACUAUUAAACUUAAUUAUAGUAAUAUUUUGUCAUAUUUUACAGAAACAUUUUGUUUAGUGCAGAGAUAAAAAUACAUUGUACACACCCGCACAAACAAUAUAUGCACGUGCGUGCGUGUAAAUGUAUUAGCGAAUAAAACAUGCGUAUUUGGCAAAAGAUGAUUUAUUAUCCCGAUUUUUAUUAAUAGAUUUUAAAUUCCAAAUUGUAAAAAAUUUUAAAUAUUGUCACUUGUGGUACUUAAACUAUGCUUAAUGUUUGUUUGUCCAAUAUAUCUAAGAUUGUGUAUGUUUUAUGCAAAAGCUUUGGGGUAAGUUAUAGUCUUUUCAUGUUUUUAAUAAAGCUUUUCUAUAUUGACAUUACGAUUUACCUACCUAUAUCAAUUAAGUGUUCGUGAAAUAAAUAAUUCUUUGUCGCAUGGCAAUUUGUAAUUUAAAUUAAGGUAAAUAUUCACAUUAGGUCAACUCCUUCAAAAGUCAAUGACCUUGACAACAUAUAUCAAGGUCAUUGACUUUUGAAGGGAUUGAUCUAAUGUGAAUAUUUACCUAAAUUAAUAUUGCAAAAUUAUUUUACAGAUAACGUUAAUGCUUAUAAUGGAGCCACGGGUAACAGCAGCAGGUCGAGUGUUUCCUCCAUCGAAAGUACCUCUGAAUCGCAUGGAAAGCUCAACAUACAGCAAAGCAUCGUGGAAGUGCAUUUGCCACCUCGCCAUAUAAUACCAGAUGUAAUAGCCGAUAAACCGAUGUCACCGUCACCGCUUUCGCCAGCACUAUCUGCAUCAAUAUUUACACCGACAUCAAUACUAACUGUGUGAAAAUCGGCACCAAUACUUUUUACCCUGAAAUCAACAUCAGCAUAUCUAUACCGUGAAAUCAACCUGAAAUCAACAUCAGCUAUCUAUACCGAAAUCAGCACCCGCAUCACCUGCAUUAGCUUCAUCGAAGAUACCUUCAACGCCUUCAUCAUCACCUCCACCACCACCGACGCCAAUAGGACCUAUUCCGCCGCUCCAAACUCAAAAAUCUGCGCCCUCGACAUUUUCCACAUCCAAUAAAACGGAAGUUUACAAAAGUAUUAAAUUCUUUAAUGGCACUUGCGGUCAAGAAGAAGUUCAAAAAAAGCUCAAGUUUGUCUUAACGAUGUUCCGAGAGAAGAAAGCGAAUUCUUCUCUCAGCAAUGAUAUGCGUGAGAUUUGAGUGAAUCAAUACUCGACCUCUCGCGAAAUUCAAACUUGGUUGGCGGCCAAAGGGUUCUCGGAGAAAAUUUGCAAACAAUUGGAAAAUAUGAACGGCAUGGAAUUAUUUAAUUUAUCGCGGCGACGA
Molecule: long non-coding RNA, 1915 nt
Organism: Formica exsecta
Lineage: Eukaryota; Metazoa; Arthropoda; Insecta; Hymenoptera; Formicidae
Exons: 3
Source: RefSeq, a predicted model, not a curated record